This 503-nucleotide ribosomal RNA is filed under the name uncultured bacterium. RNAcentral's name for it is "partial 16S ribosomal RNA". It matches the Rfam family "Bacterial small subunit ribosomal RNA", at positions 28 to 523 of the family's 1533-position model. The record is from RNAcentral.
GAUGAACGCUGGCGGCGUGCCUAAUACAUGCAAGUCGAACGAAGAUCUAGCUUGCUAGAUCUUAGUGGCGAACGGGUGAGUAAUACAUAAAUAAUCUGCCCAUAUGACUGGGAUAACUAUUGGAAACGAUAGCUAAUACCGGAUAGGUUGAUUGGAGGCAUCUCUGAUUAGUUAAAGUAGGAUUUCUACACAAAUGGAUGAGUUUAUGGCGCAUUAGUUAGUUGGUGGGGUAACGGCCUACCAAGACGAUGAUGCGUAGCCGACCUGAGAGGGUGACCGGCCACACUGGGACUGAGACACGGCCCAGACUCCUACGGGAGGCAGCAGUAGGGAAUUUUCGGCAAUGGGCGCAAGCCUGACCGAGCAACGCCGCGUGAGUGAUUAAGGCCUUCGGGUUGUAAAGCUCUGUUGUAAGGGAAGAACAUUCAGGAUAGGAAAUGAUCUUGAACUGACAGUACCUUACCAGAAGGCCACGGCUAACUACGUGCCAGCCGCCGCGGUAA